Molecule: long non-coding RNA, 1177 nt
Organism: Microcebus murinus (gray mouse lemur)
Lineage: Eukaryota; Metazoa; Chordata; Mammalia; Primates; Cheirogaleidae
Source: Ensembl
CUUCCAGGCACUGUGCUAGGCCCUGGGGAUACUAAGAGGAAUGACGAGCUGAGGCAAACUCAUUGUGUCUCUUUGGACACAGGUGGCAGAGGAAGCUCUGGAGACCAUUGGCCACCUCUUCUGUCUGCUGUCAGUUGAAAAUCUUGAGAGUCGUGUUUACUGGUUAACCAAAUGGUUCACGACUCUGACUUCCACAGCAGUGAGGCCACUCUACAUGUGCAAGUGUCUCUGCGGCGUCCUGAAAGCCCUGUACCGCAGCAAACACGGAGGUCGCAAGGUACAAUCCUGGGCAGAGGAGCUGGCAGGCAUCCUCCUGAAGCAGAUGAGUGACAAAGAGAGCCAGCCACCAGCUCUUUGUGAUGAGACCGAAACAUUAUCCCUGAGGGCAUUUAACCUGUUGAGCCACUUAUGCCUGGACACCACAGUCCAUGUUCUGAAGAGGGCAAUAACCGCAGAAGAGGAGCCCACAGUGCUGGCAGCACUUGAGGCCUUCAGGGAGGUGAUCCAUGGAGCACCACAAGCGGAAACGCUGAAGAGGGAGGUGCUGGCUUCGGUUACUUCAGUGAUACAGAAGGAUCGAAGACCAGUGCGCAUGGCCCUCCUGAGAUUCCUGGAGGCGCUGGGGCAGCGUGACUACCUGAGCCUUCCCGAGGGCAGGGUGGUCAUAGAUUACCUCCUGAAGCUCAGCCAGUGGGACUCCUCGAAUGAAGCGGACAUUGGACUCAUGUCUUUGAAAGUCCUGCAGACGGUGUCCUUGCCCGUUCUUAUCAGCAUGCUAUGUGAGCCCGGCAACACCUCAGCUUUCGUGGUCUUGAGUGACACAGCCACAGAGGUGGCUCUGAGGGAACAAGCGCUGGGGCAGCCCCCCUACCUCAGCAGCUUCUAUGUCAGGAGUAAGUACAGGGAGGGGAGACCACGGUGGGGGGUUGGUCGACCACAGGCACUGGGGCUGCCCCAGGCAUGGGAGGGGUAGGCCCAGGUGAAUCCUGUGAGCAUGAGGGUUUGGGUCUGUGCUGUGCUAAGGCUGGGAACCCCACUCCUCAGUCCUGUUUGCAAAGGGUUAGGGCCACAGCCCGAGCCCAUUGGCCCUCAGCAGGGGAGGAAAGGAGCCUUCUUUGCAAGAUAGCUGCCCCCCACAGGCCCUCUGGCCUUCCCAUCUCAUUUUGCAACCCUGGAG